Molecule: ribosomal RNA, 765 nt
Filed under: Stolephorus indicus (Indian anchovy)
Lineage: Eukaryota; Metazoa; Chordata; Actinopteri; Clupeiformes; Engraulidae
Description: partial 16S ribosomal RNA
Rfam family: Bacterial large subunit ribosomal RNA
Source: RNAcentral
GCAGAGACUAACCCUCGUACCUUUUGCAUCAUGGUUUAGCAAGUAAACGCAAGCAAAGAGCCCUCUAGUUUGUACCCCCGAAACUUGGCGAGCUACUCCGGGACAGUCAUUUUGGACCAACCCGUCUCUGUUGCAAAAGAGUGGGAAGAUCUCUGAGUAGAGGCAACACCCCUACCGAGCCAGGUUAUAGCUGGUUGCCCAGUAAAUGAAUAAAAGUUCAGCCCCGCACAGCCCGUGUCAAAGAAGUCCUACUAAUAAAGACAAAGAGCUUAUCGCGGGAGUUAGUCGGAGGAGGAACAGCUCCCCCGACCAAGGAAACAACCUUCAUAGGAGAUUUAAGAACACUUUACUUUAAGGCCCCGGGUGUUGGUGGGCCUGAAAGCAGCCAUCCAUCUAGAAAGCGUUAAAGCUCUGACCCAAAUAAAGCCUAUUAUACCGUUCCUUAGUCUUAUAUCCCUCCUGCUCACUGGGCCCCCCUAUGCCCACAUAGGAGCGAUCAUGCUAAAACUAGUAACAAGAAGAACGAACUUCUCCAUGCACAAGUGUAAGUCGAAUUUGACAACCUAUCGACGAUUAACGAACCCAACAGAAGAGGGCCCUAUACCUCAGCCCAUUUAAGCCAAGAAAAUUAUAUUUAGUUUUAUCGUUACCCCCACACAGGAGUGCUAGAAUAAGGAAAGACUAAAAGAGAGAAAAGGAACUCGGCAAACUUAAACCCCGCCUGUUUACCAAAAACAUCGCCUCUUGAAUCAACAGUAUAAGAGG